GUGCGGCGAUGAACCUCCGGGAAAGACGCUGGGAGGCCAGGAUGCCCGGCGCAACUGGACGCUCAUCGGGAGUCACGGGGUCGGCCCUCAGGGGAACGGGGACUAUCCGUAUCAACUCGGUGUUUGUUCGUUUUCUUCACCUUGCGCAUCAGCGUUCAACAGCUGCCUGUGCAAAUCGAAAAAAGCGAAACUUUGGAAACUAGGAAGCAUCAGAUGAAUAAUUCUGAAGACUUGAUGUCAACGGGAGUAUCUUGUUUUUAAACUUUUGGUUUUCUGUUCUGGAGACAAACAGUUCAUAUGCACUAAAGAAAAAAGUGUCAUUAUUUCAGAUGCUCAUUGCCAGCAAAGAGAACUGUAUUGCAAGUCAGGCUUCACUCCCAGUAUUUUCUGAAUGUUUCA
RNAcentral lists this long non-coding RNA (399 nucleotides) under Homo sapiens (human). RNAcentral describes it as "non-protein coding lnc-TMEM123-5:2". The record is from RNAcentral. Lineage: Eukaryota; Metazoa; Chordata; Mammalia; Primates; Hominidae.